ACCCGGACUCCUACGAGAGCCGGGUUCCAGCGACAAAGAAAACUUCACCCGGGCUCCUACGGGAGCCGGGUUCCAACGACAAAAAAGAUUUCACCCGGACUCCUACAGGAGCUGGGCUCCUUCGCCGACAUCAGCUACAGGACAACCCCACCCGGACUUCUACGGAAGCCGGACUUUGCCUAGGACUUUGAUUGCAGGAAAACGAAAGCUUUGCCCUGGCCCCUACGAGAACCAAGCUACUCCAACUUCAGGAGGACUUCUCCGCUCGGACUCCCAAGGGAGCCGGACUCAGCUCCGACUUCAACAGAGAAAAAACCCAAGCA
Molecule: long non-coding RNA, 323 nt
Filed under: Elaeis guineensis (African oil palm)
Lineage: Eukaryota; Viridiplantae; Streptophyta; Magnoliopsida; Arecales; Arecaceae
Description: long non-coding RNA (EGUI_LNC079656)
Source: RNAcentral